This is a long non-coding RNA of Medicago truncatula (barrel medic), 448 nucleotides long. RefSeq lists it as uncharacterized. The transcript is spliced from 2 exons. The record is from RefSeq and is a predicted model, not a curated record. NCBI's taxonomy places the organism in Eukaryota, Viridiplantae, Streptophyta, Magnoliopsida, Fabales, Fabaceae.
CACGAGUAUGGAUUUUGUUAGCAUGCCUAAACUCGAAACCCUUUUCCUCCUAUUCUUCUUCUUCUUCCUCCCUUCCUCUUUAAAACAAAACCCACCCACCAUCAUCAUUAGCUUCUUGUCCAUCGGCGCCUCCACCGCUGCCGACCUGCCACACCCUUUUCUUCUUCUUUCUUUCUCUUCAAAACAAAACCCAUCCGCUGUCAAUUUUCCACCAACUGUCGGUUGGUUAUUGGGUGAUUUGGAAUUGGAUUUAAUGGAGAUAAUGUGAGAACUCAAUUUGGCUGAAGAUCUAUCACUGGACAUAAAUUUGACAGCAUAAAAGCUUAACACAAAGAUAGAUUUGAAGCUGAUAGAAGACAUAGUUGUAGUUCCAUUGGAAAGUAUGUUGUUUUAUAUAAGUUUGUAACUCUUUUUAGAACAUAAUGAAUUGAGAUUCUUUGUUUCAUUA